RNAcentral lists this ribosomal RNA (253 nucleotides) under uncultured bacterium. RNAcentral describes it as "partial 16S ribosomal RNA". It matches the Rfam family "Bacterial small subunit ribosomal RNA", at positions 524 to 776 of the family's 1533-position model. The record is from RNAcentral.
UACAGAGGUCUCAAGCGUUGUUCGGAUUCAUUGGGUGUAAAGGGUGCGUAGGUGGCGUGGUAAGUCGGAUGUGAAAUCCCGGGGCUCAACCCCGGAACUGCAUUCGAUACUGCCUUGCUAGAGUACUGGAGAGGAGAUUGGAAUUUACGGUGUAGCAGUGAAAUGCGUAGAUAUCGUAAGGAAGACCAGUGGCGAAGGCGGAUCUCUGGACAGUUACUGACACUGAGGCACGAAGGCCAGGGGAGCAAACGGG